AUGCUGAAAAGCCAACUUCAUCUUUUGCAGUUAUGCCCUAUGGUAUCUGGAAGCUAUCUGGAAACAUUGUUUUGCUUUGGUAGUGUAACUGAAAGAGUCCUGGAAUUGGAAAACAAAAUCCAGAAGUUGAGUUCCAUGGCUUUUUUGCUGUUUGUCUUUGGAAUGAAGAAAGGAUCAAAUUGAGACAACCAGGAGGGAAGAGUUCCCUGGCAAAACUCCAAUCUGCCUGAGCACUGAGGUGGAGCCACAGAAGUCCGGAUCAUCCGCAAACGGGAGGAGCCUGGCUCCUCCUCUUCCUGUGUGUAAUCUGGGAUUUAAUCUGUGAGGAGCGAACGCCAAGGGCAGGAAGCACGGGCUCUGACUCUCUUUUUUUCUUUAUGCCUAAUAAAUCCCAUUUUUCUCACUCUUCAAAUAGUCUUCAAGCCUAAGCCUAAAUUUUCGUGACGGUGGAACAAGGACUCCAUCUUUAGCUGAACUAAGGAAAAGUCCUGCGACAAAAUUCUUUGCUAAAAAUACAUGAGAUUGCCUUCUUCUUCUUAGUCUAAAAAGAAAUAUAUUUCAAUGGUUAAUGUUUUAGUAAUUCAAAAAUUAUCAAGCAUUUGUUCACAACCAUAAGUUGUGCAUUUUUUAUAUUACUACUUGAUAAUAGACUAAUUGUCUUAUUAAACUGCCAAUGUUGAUCUUUGUGACUCAUUGCAUUGAUUAUAAGCAGUGUUGUGUGUGUGUGUGUGUGUGUGUGUCAAAUUUAGGGGUUUUUGGCAUGGCUGCUGGUAGCCUGUAUCCGAUAUCCUGUAUUAAUUCUAAUAUUUGCAUUUUUAACAUGUUUCCAAGUUGCUAAAAUAGCAAAGCUUCAAGGCCAGUCUGGCCGAUAUGGCAAAACCCCGUCUCUACUAAAAGUACAAAAAUUAGCCUGGUGUGGGGGUGCAUGCCUGUAAUCCCAGCUACUUGGAAGUCUGAGGCAGGAGAAUCUCUUGAACCCAGAAGGCAGAGAUUGCAGUGAGUCGAGAUCACACCACUGCACUCCAGCCUCGGCGAUAGAGUGAGACUUCGUCUGAAAAAUAAAAUAAAAUAAAAAUAGCAAAGCUAUGUAUAGUUUCUCUGAGUUUUGUAAUUUAUCGUUAUUAACUGCAGAAAUUUAUUAUAUGAUACAUAUAAGUAAAUUUGGAUUGGGUUUAAUUUUAUAUUUUUG
RNAcentral lists this long non-coding RNA (1189 nucleotides) under Papio anubis (olive baboon). RNAcentral's name for it is "lncRNA (ENSPANG00000049988.1)". Lineage: Eukaryota; Metazoa; Chordata; Mammalia; Primates; Cercopithecidae. The record is from RNAcentral.